Molecule: transfer RNA, 19 nt
Filed under: Bronchocela burmana (Burmese green crested lizard)
Lineage: Eukaryota; Metazoa; Chordata; Lepidosauria; Squamata; Agamidae
Description: partial tRNA-Tyr
Source: RNAcentral
GAGGAACCUCCCCUGGCCG